Molecule: non-coding RNA, 85 nt
Filed under: Pelosinus fermentans
Lineage: Bacteria; Bacillati; Bacillota; Negativicutes; Selenomonadales; Sporomusaceae
Description: c-di-GMP sequence
Rfam family: c-di-GMP-I riboswitch aptamer
About the family: GEMM was predicted in a large-scale screen for bacterial structured RNA regulatory elements. Genes associated with GEMM are involved in a diverse array of functions, including chemotaxis regulation, signal transduction, secretion and chitin.
Source: RNAcentral
UUGAACGAUCGGCAAACUUAGCGAAAGUUAAGGACGCAAAGCUAUGGGACUAACGAUUUUUAUCUAUGUCUGCCAGGUUGCUAUA